UACGUAGGGUGCGAGCGUUAAUCGGAAUUACUGGGCGUAAAGCGUGCGCAGGCGGUUUCGUAAGACAGAGGUGAAAUCCCCGGGCUCAACCUGGGAACUGCCUUUGUGAUUGCGAAGCUAGAGUACGGCAGAGGGGGGUGGAAUUCCACGUGUAGCAGUGAAAUGCGUAGAGAUGUGGAGGAACACCAAUGGCGAAGGCAGCCCCCUGGGUCGAUACUGACGCUCAUGCACGAAAGCGUGGGUAGCAAAC
Molecule: ribosomal RNA, 250 nt
Filed under: uncultured Dechloromonas sp.
Lineage: Bacteria; Pseudomonadati; Pseudomonadota; Betaproteobacteria; Rhodocyclales; Azonexaceae
Description: partial 16S ribosomal RNA
Rfam family: Bacterial small subunit ribosomal RNA
Source: RNAcentral